CGAAGGGCGUAGCGUUGCUCGGAAUCACUGGGCGUAAAGCGCACGUAGGCGGACUCUUAAGUCGGGUGGAAAUCCUGGAGCUCAACUCCAGAACUGCCUUCGAUACUGGGAGUCUUCGAGUUCGGGAGAGGUGAGUGGAACUGCGAGUGUAGAGGUGAAAUUCGUAGAUAUUCGCAAGAACACCAGUGGCGAAGGCGGCUCACUGGCCCGAUACUGACGCUGAGGUGCGAAAGCGUGGGAGCAAACAGGAUU
This 252-nucleotide ribosomal RNA is filed under the name uncultured bacterium. Its description in RNAcentral is "partial 16S ribosomal RNA". It matches the Rfam family "Bacterial small subunit ribosomal RNA", at positions 526 to 779 of the family's 1533-position model. The record is from RNAcentral.